Long non-coding RNA from Fukomys damarensis (Damara mole-rat), 432 nucleotides. NCBI's taxonomy places the organism in Eukaryota, Metazoa, Chordata, Mammalia, Rodentia, Bathyergidae. The record is from Ensembl.
AAGUGAUUUUAUGUUUUCCUUUUUGUCUUUAAAGAUUUUAAUAUCACUGACAGGCUCUAAGCCAUGAAAGAUUUAUUUAUGAAAAAUGACGAGUGACUAUAAUGUUAGAAAAAUAAAUCCCAAAUUCAAAGCAAGUACUCGAAUGAAGAAGAAAGAGCUCCUUCAGCGUGAGGAAGCGUGAUUCUCCUCCACACAAUCCCCUUCCAAAGGUCUAAUAAGGAGAACACACAGCAAAGAACAUGGUGAAAGCAACACAAGAAACAGAAUAGAAGUGCAGAUGGCUGAAGUCUUGACAACUACGAAAAGAAUGGAUCAAAUGCUCCUGAGAAGUUUCCAAUGAACUCAGCAACAUUGGGACCAAGGUGGCCCUGAAAUAACAGAGUCAAUGUGGGGCUAGAGAUUCUGUGCAAGGGGCCAAGAAGUAGCCACAAC